GGUGACAGGUGCUGCAUGGCUGUCGUCAGCUCGGUGUCGUGAGAUGUUGGGUUAAGUCCCGCAACGAGCGCAACCCUUGUCUUUAAUUGCCAUCAUUUAGUUGGGCACUUUAAAGAGACUGCCGGUGUUAAGCCGGAGGAAGGUGGGGAUGACGUCAAGUCCUCAUGGCCUUUAUGCCCAGGGCUACACACGUGCUACAAUGGGCGGUACAAAGAGAAGCAACCUCGCGAGGGUGAGCAAAUCUACAAAAAGCCGUUCUCAGUUCGGAUUGAAGUCUGCAACUCGACUUCAUGAAGUCGGAAUCGCUAGUAAUCGCGGAUCAGCAUGCCGCGGUGAAUACGUUCCCGGGCCUU
This 353-nucleotide ribosomal RNA is filed under the name uncultured Syntrophaceae bacterium. Its description in RNAcentral is "bacterial SSU rRNA". It matches the Rfam family "Bacterial small subunit ribosomal RNA", at positions 1030 to 1382 of the family's 1533-position model. The record is from RNAcentral. Lineage: Bacteria; Pseudomonadati; Thermodesulfobacteriota; Syntrophia; Syntrophales; Syntrophaceae.